RNAcentral lists this ribosomal RNA (449 nucleotides) under uncultured bacterium. RNAcentral's name for it is "partial 16S ribosomal RNA". It matches the Rfam family "Bacterial small subunit ribosomal RNA", at positions 29 to 523 of the family's 1533-position model. The record is from RNAcentral.
AACGAACGCUGGCGGCAUGCCUAACACAUGCAAGUCGACCGAGAUCUUCGGGUCUAGUGGCGCACGGGUGCGUAACGCGUAGGAAUCUGCCCUUUGGUUCGGAAUAACAGUUGGAAACGACUGCUAAUACCGGAUGAUGACGAAAGUCCAAAGACUUAUCGCCAGAGGAUGAGCCCGGGUAGGAUUAGCUAGGUGGUGGGGUAAAGGCGUACCAAGGCGACGAUCCUUAGCUGGUCUGAGAGGAUGAUCAGCCACACUGGGACUGAGACACGGCCCAGGCUCCUACGGGAGGCAGCAGUGGGGAAUAUUGGACAAUGGGCUAAAGCCUGAUCCAGCAAUGCCGCGUGAGUGAUGAAGGCCUUAGGGUUGUAAAGCUCUUUUACCCGGGAUGAUAAUGACAGUACCGGGAGAAUAAGCUCCGGCUAACUCCGUGCCAGCCGCCGCGGUAA